AGCGAACGCUGGCGGCAGGCUUAACACAUGCAAGUCGAGCGGGCCUUUCGGGGUCAGCGGCGGACGGGUGAGUAACGCGUGGGAACGUGCCCUCUGGUUCGGAAUAACUCAGGGAAACUUGAGCUAAUACCGGAUACGCCCUUUUGGGGAAAGGCUUGCUGGCGGAGGAUCGGCCCGCGUCUGAUUAGCUAGUUGGUGAGGUAACGGCUCACCAAGGCGACGAUCAGUAGCUGGUCUGAGAGGAUGAUCAGCCACACUGGGACUGAGACACGGCCCAGACUCCUACGGGAGGCAGCAGUGGGGAAUAUUGGACAAUGGGCGCAAGCCUGAUCCAGCCAUGCCGCGUGAGUGAUGAAGGCCUUAGGGUUGUAAAGCUCUUUUAUCCGGGACGAUAAUGACGGUACCGGAGGAAUAAGCCCCGGCUAACUUCGUG
This 433-nucleotide ribosomal RNA is filed under the name uncultured bacterium. Its description in RNAcentral is "partial 16S ribosomal RNA". It matches the Rfam family "Bacterial small subunit ribosomal RNA", at positions 29 to 507 of the family's 1533-position model. The record is from RNAcentral.